CGGCCUUGACAUACUAAGAACUUUCCAGAGAUGGAUUGGUGCCUUCGGGAACUUAGAUACAGGUGCUGCAUGGCUGUCGUCAGCUCGUGUCGUGAGAUGUUGGGUUAAGUCCCGNAACGAGCGCAACCCUUUUCCUUAUUUGCCAGCGGGUCAUGCCGGGAACUUUAAGGAUACUGCCAGUGACAAACUGGAGGAAGGCGGGGACGACGUCAAGUCAUCAUGGCCCUUACGGCCAGGGCUACACACGUGCUACAAUGGUCGGUACAAAGGGUUGCUACCUCGCGAGAGGAUGCUAAUCUCAAAAAGCCGAUCGUAGUCCGGAUCGCAGUCUGCAACUCGACUGCGUGAGGUCGGAAUCGCUAGUAAUCGCGGAUCAGAAUGCCGCGGUGAAUACGUUCCCGGGCCUUGUACACACCGCCCGUCACACCAUGGGAGUUUGUUGCACCAGAAGUAGGUAGUCUAACCGCAAGGAGGACGCUUACCACGGUGUGGCCGAUGACUGGGGUGAAGUCGUAACAAGGUAAGCGUAGAUGA
Molecule: ribosomal RNA, 534 nt
Filed under: uncultured bacterium
Lineage: Bacteria
Description: bacterial SSU rRNA
Rfam family: Bacterial small subunit ribosomal RNA
Source: RNAcentral